GCCGUCGUAGCUCAGCGGUUAGAGCACCGAGCUGAUAACUCGGGGCCGGAGGUUCGAUUCCUCCCGUCGGCA
Molecule: transfer RNA, 72 nt
Filed under: Micromonospora zamorensis
Lineage: Bacteria; Bacillati; Actinomycetota; Actinomycetes; Micromonosporales; Micromonosporaceae
Also listed under: 4 other names
Description: tRNA-Ile
Rfam family: tRNA
About the family: Transfer RNA (tRNA) molecules are approximately 80 nucleotides in length. Their secondary structure includes four short double-helical elements and three loops (D, anti-codon, and T loops).
Source: RNAcentral